AACGUAGGUCACGAGCGUUGUCCGGAAUUACUGGGUGUAAAGGGAGCGCAGGCGGGUAGACAAGUUGGAAGUGAAAGCCACGGGCUCAACCCGUGAACUGCUUUCAAAACUGUAUAUCUUGAGUAGUGCAGAGGUAGGCGGAAUUCCCGGUGUAGCGGUGGAAUGCGUAGAUAUCGGGAGGAACACCAGUGGCGAAGGCGGCCUACUGGGCACCAACUGACGCUGAGGCUCGAAGGUGUGGGUAGCAAACAGG
This 253-nucleotide ribosomal RNA is filed under the name uncultured bacterium. RNAcentral describes it as "partial 16S ribosomal RNA". It matches the Rfam family "Bacterial small subunit ribosomal RNA", at positions 524 to 776 of the family's 1533-position model. The record is from RNAcentral.